CAAUAGCGUAUAUUAAAGUUGUUGCGGUUAAAAAGCUCGUAGUUGGAUUUCUGCUGAGAACGACCGGUCCGCCCUUUGGGUGUGUAUCUGGCUCUUUCUUGGCAUCUUCUUGGUGAACGUUGCUGCACUUGACUGUGUGGAGCGCUACCCAGGACUUUUACUUUGAGGAAAUUAGAGUGUUUCAAGCAGGCAUACGCCUUGAAUACAUUAGCAUGGAAUAAUAAGAUAGGACCUCGGUUCUAUUUUGUUGGUUUCUAGAGCUGAGGUAAUGAUUAAUAGGGAUAGUUGGGGGCAUUCGUAUUUAACUGUCAGAGGUGAAAUUCUUGGAUUUGUUAAAGACGGACUACUGCGAANGNAUUGGCNAAGGAUGUUUNCAUUG
RNAcentral lists this ribosomal RNA (379 nucleotides) under uncultured eukaryote. Its description in RNAcentral is "partial 18S ribosomal RNA". It matches the Rfam family "Eukaryotic small subunit ribosomal RNA", at positions 592 to 975 of the family's 1831-position model. The record is from RNAcentral.